UACGUAGGGCCCGAGCGUUAUCCGGUAUCAUUGGGCGUAAAGAGUGCGUAGGCGGUUUUGUAAGACAGAGGUUAAAGGUCCGGGCUCAACCCGGAACAUGCCUUUGUGACUGCAAAACUUGACGGUAGCAGGGGCAAGCAGAAUUCUCGGUGUAGGAGUGAAAUCCGUUGAGAUCGAGAGGAAUACCAAUGGCGAAGGCAGCUUGCUAGGUUACUUGUGACGCUAAGGCACGAAAGCGUGGGGAGCGAACGGG
This 253-nucleotide unclassified non-coding RNA is filed under the name uncultured Candidatus Berkelbacteria bacterium. RNAcentral's name for it is "contains 16S-23S intergenic spacer region". It matches the Rfam family "Bacterial small subunit ribosomal RNA", at positions 524 to 776 of the family's 1533-position model. The record is from RNAcentral. Lineage: Bacteria; Candidatus Berkelbacteria.